UUGCUGUAGUAUUUUGACUAUACAAAGGUAUUGUAAUAAGACUUUAAUUGAGUGCUAAAAGAAUGGAAUUACAAAAAAAGGCUUUUUUAAUUUUAAAAAUUAAAAUUAUUUUUUUUUGUGAAGAAACAAAAAUUUAAAUUAAAGACAAGAAGACCCUAAGAAUUUUUUUUUUUAUUAAAAUAAUAUUUUAUUUUAAAAAUUUAAUUGGGGCGAUUAAUUAAUAUUAAAAACUUUAUUAAUAAAAAAAAAUGAUCCAUUACUAAUGAUUAUUUGAUUAAAAUACUCUAGGGAUAACAGCGUAAUAAUUUUUGAUAGUUCUUAUAGAAAAAAUAGUUUGCGACCUCGAUGUUGGAUUAGGAUUCUUUUUUAAUGAAGAAGUUAAAAAAAGAAGUUUGUUCAACUUUUAAAUUCC
Molecule: ribosomal RNA, 412 nt
Filed under: Amblyomma dissimile (iguana tick)
Lineage: Eukaryota; Metazoa; Arthropoda; Arachnida; Ixodida; Ixodidae
Description: partial 16S ribosomal RNA
Source: RNAcentral